GACGAACGCUGGCGGCGUGCUUAACACAUGCCAGUCGAACGGAAAGGCCCUGCUUUUGUGGGGUGCUCGAGUGGCGAACGGGUGAGUAACACGUGAGUAACCUGCCCUUGACUUUGGGAUAACUUCAGGAAACUGGGGCUAAUACCGGAUAGGAGCUCCGCUGCAUGGUGGGGGUUGGAAAGUUUCGGCGGUUGGGGAUGGACUCGCGGCUUAUCAGCUUGUUGGUGGGGUAGUGGCUUACCAAGGCUUUGACGGGUAGCCGGCCUGAGAGGGUGACCGGCCACAUUGGGACUGAGAUACGGCCCAGACUCCUACGGGAGGCAGCAGUGGGGAAUAUUGCACAAUGGGCGGAAGCCUGAUGCAGCAACGCCGCGUGCGGGAUGACGGCCUUCGGGUUGUAAACCGCUUUCGCCUGUGACGAAGCGUGAGUGACGGUAAUGGGUAAAGAAGCACCGGCUAACUACGUG
RNAcentral lists this ribosomal RNA (467 nucleotides) under uncultured bacterium. Its description in RNAcentral is "partial 16S ribosomal RNA". It matches the Rfam family "Bacterial small subunit ribosomal RNA", at positions 28 to 507 of the family's 1533-position model. The record is from RNAcentral.